Molecule: long non-coding RNA, 369 nt
Organism: Bubalus bubalis (water buffalo)
Lineage: Eukaryota; Metazoa; Chordata; Mammalia; Artiodactyla; Bovidae
Exons: 2
Source: RefSeq, a predicted model, not a curated record
CUCCAACAUUACAGUCUUGCAGCCAGGUUGAGCUUGUACUCAUAACAGAACCAUAGAAUCAUCCACUUGACACCUGGUUCAAGGACGAAUUCCUGCCUGGCAGCCCUGAAAAGUCAAGAGGGAACUUCUCAGAAAUGACUGAUCUCUGUAAUACUACAUGUGGACCGCCACAUCGCGCCGUGAGUGGAGGUCAUCUGAUCCUUGCUUCUAUACCUUCAUGCUGCCUGCAGACGAGAAUGGGCCUUUCUCUUCCAGCUGGAUAGCUCCAGUUCUGUAAAUGAAACUGUGACCUUUAGCAGCAGCACUGAUGAUAACUGCUUCAUUUUCCAUACUUUCCUGUUUUCAUUACAUGACGAAUUCUUGGCAAAG